GACGAACGCUGGCGGCGUGCUUAACACAUGCAAGUCGAACGGAAAGGCCCUGCUUUUGUGGGGUGCUCGAGUGGCGAACGGGUGAGUAACACGUGAGUAACCUGCCCUUGACUUUGGGAUAACUUCAGGAAACUGGGGCUAAUACCGGAUAGGAGCUCCUGCUGCAUGGUGGGGGUUGGAAAGUUUCGGCGGUUGGGGAUGGACUCGCGGCUUAUCAGCUUGUUGGUGGGGUAGUGGCUUACCAAGGCUUUGACGGGUAGCCGGCCUGAGAGGGUGACCGGCCCCAUGGGGCCUGAAAGACGGCCGCGACUCCUAGGGGUGGGAGGUGGGGGGAUUUUGGCACCACGGGCGGACGGCUGAUGCAUACCCGCCGCAUGGGGGGUGGCGGCCUUGGGGUUGUAAACCUUUUUCGACUGUGAGGAAGGGUGGGGGCCGGUAAUGGGAAAAGAGGUACCGGAUAACUCAGU
This 467-nucleotide ribosomal RNA is filed under the name uncultured bacterium. Its description in RNAcentral is "partial 16S ribosomal RNA". It matches the Rfam family "Bacterial small subunit ribosomal RNA", at positions 28 to 506 of the family's 1533-position model. The record is from RNAcentral.